This is a non-coding RNA of Myotis davidii, 191 nucleotides long. NCBI's taxonomy places the organism in Eukaryota, Metazoa, Chordata, Mammalia, Chiroptera, Vespertilionidae. The record is from Rfam.
GGAUGUGAGGGCGAUCUGGCUGUGACAUCUGUCACCUCCUUGAUCUCUAGGAUUGUCUUGGCUGAUCUGGCUGGUGUCCCCUUCCUCCCUCACUGCUCCAUGUGCAUCCCUCCAGAAGCUGUGCGCUCAGUUGAAGAGGAAAAGUAAAUAAAUAAAUAAAUAAAUUGUUUGAAAUAGGGAAAAAGAGACAU